This 581-nucleotide ribosomal RNA is filed under the name uncultured Alphaproteobacteria bacterium. Its description in RNAcentral is "SSU rRNA". It matches the Rfam family "Bacterial small subunit ribosomal RNA", at positions 316 to 915 of the family's 1533-position model. Lineage: Bacteria; Pseudomonadati; Pseudomonadota; Alphaproteobacteria. The record is from RNAcentral.
GGAAUGAGACCAAGCCCAGACUCAUACGGGAGGCAGCAGUGGGGAAUAUUGGACAAUGGGGGCAACCCUGAUCCAGCAAUGCCGCGUGAGUGAAGAAGGCCUUCGGGUUGUAAAGCUCUUUUAUCAGGGAAGAUAAUGACGGUACCUGAUGAAUAAGCUCCGGCUAACUUCGUGCCAGCAGCCGCGGUAAUACGAAGGGGGCUAGCGUUGUUCGGAAUUACUGGGCGUAAAGGGCGCGUAGGCGGCUUUGAAAGUCAGAUGUGAAAGCCCCGGGCUUAACCUGGGAACUGCAUUUGAUACUGCAAGGCUAGAGAUUGUGAGAGGUAAGUGGAAUUAUGAGUGUAGAGGUGAAAUUCGUAGAUAUUCAUAAGAACAUCAGUGGCGAAGGCGGCUUACUGGCACAAUACUGACGCUAAGGCGCGAAAGCGUGGGGAGCAAACAGGAUUAGAUACCCUGGUAGUCCACGCUGUAAACGAUGAGUGCUAGAUGUUGGUUGGGUCACCAAUCGGUGUCGAAGCUAACGCAUUAAGCACUCCGCCUGGGGAGUACGGUCGCAAGAUUAAAACUCAAAGGAAUUGACG